GUAUAUUCAUGGCCUUCUGGCUAAAAUCAAGUGUAUUAUUUUGCUUUCUGUUUAAUAUUAGAUAUUUCUUCUACUUGAUGAUACUAAAUAAAUUGUUUUGAAGUCAGGAGAUGGAAUAGGACUUGUACCUUCAUUUUAUGAAUUGUCCUGGUGUCGCAGUACCUGCUGGAUCAUUGAAUCAAAA
Apodemus sylvaticus (European woodmouse) is the source of this 184-nucleotide small nuclear RNA. RefSeq annotates it as U2 spliceosomal RNA. The transcript has a single exon. Lineage: Eukaryota; Metazoa; Chordata; Mammalia; Rodentia; Muridae. The record is from RefSeq and is a predicted model, not a curated record.